UACGUAGGGUGCAAGCGUUGUCCGGAAUUAUUGGGCGUAAAGAGCUCGUAGGCGGUUUGUCGCGUCUGCUGUGAAAACUCGGGGCUUAACUCCGGGCCUGCAGUGGGUACGGGCAGACUAGAGUGCGGUAGGGGAGACUGGAAUUCCUGGUGUAGCGGUGAAAUGCGCAGAUAUCAGGAGGAACACCAAUUGCGAAGGCAGCUCGCUGGGACGUAACUGACGCUGAGACGCGAAAGCGUGGGGAGCAAACAGG
RNAcentral lists this ribosomal RNA (253 nucleotides) under uncultured bacterium. RNAcentral's name for it is "partial 16S ribosomal RNA". It matches the Rfam family "Bacterial small subunit ribosomal RNA", at positions 524 to 776 of the family's 1533-position model. The record is from RNAcentral.